GGCUCAGAACGAACGCUGGCGGCAGGCUUAACACAUGCAAGUCGAGCGCCCCGCAAGGGGAGCGGCAGACGGGUGAGUAACGCGUGGGAAUCUACCUAUCUCUACGGAACAACUCCGGGAAACUGGAGCUAAUACCGUAUACGUCCUUUUGGAGAAAGAUUUAUCGGAGAUGGAUGAGCCCGCGUUGGAUUAGCUAGUUGGUGGGGUAAUGGCCUACCAAGGCGACGAUCCAUAGCUGGUCUGAGAGGAUGAUCAGCCACACUGGGACUGAGACACGGCCCAGACUCCUACGGGAGGCAGCAGUGGGGAAUAUUGGACAAUGGGCGCAAGCCUGAUCCAGCCAUGCCGCGUGAGUGAUGAAGGCCCUAGGGUUGUAAAGCUCUUUCAACG
This 390-nucleotide ribosomal RNA is filed under the name Mesorhizobium sp. R-46042. RNAcentral describes it as "bacterial SSU rRNA". It matches the Rfam family "Bacterial small subunit ribosomal RNA", at positions 21 to 441 of the family's 1533-position model. Lineage: Bacteria; Pseudomonadati; Pseudomonadota; Alphaproteobacteria; Hyphomicrobiales; Phyllobacteriaceae. The record is from RNAcentral. RNAcentral also lists the same sequence under 1 other name.